RNAcentral lists this long non-coding RNA (328 nucleotides) under Daucus carota (carrot). Its description in RNAcentral is "long non-coding RNA (DCAR_LNC001851)". Lineage: Eukaryota; Viridiplantae; Streptophyta; Magnoliopsida; Apiales; Apiaceae. The record is from RNAcentral.
CACUAGAAAAAGUAAAGUCCUGGACUAGUAAAUAAUGCUACAAAGUUUCUGGAUCAUAUAAUACAUUUCCAGAUUUCAUGAAUAGAAACAACAGAUGUGCAUAUCACCUUGAUUUCUCUGGUUCUUGCUUACCUGCCAGAUAAUCCUCAUAGUCUGUCUUGAAGAGAAUUCAAAACAUUCCAUUAUGCAAAGAACAAUCAGCAGCUUCAUUGAAUUCUUCAGUGGUAAUGAAUAAGUUCCUUUCUACCACUUACUGAAGAAUAAAUGUAUCACCUUAUACUUCUCCUCCCGUUACCUUGAUCAGGUUCCCCUUGGUGAUAAGUAGCUA